Providencia rettgeri DSM 1131 is the source of this 163-nucleotide non-coding RNA. The record is from Rfam. Lineage: Bacteria; Pseudomonadati; Pseudomonadota; Gammaproteobacteria; Enterobacterales; Morganellaceae.
GGGUGCUUGAGCCUUUCUGGUUCAAGCUUAUUAUGUUGGAUAAAAUGUUUGGAUUAGAAAUGGAAAAGCCCCGUUAGUUAUUAUUAACCAACGAGGCCCAAACCUAACCCGACAGUUAGGAUUGUGCCUCUUAACCAUUAAGAGGUCAAGGGAAAUGAGCAAG